ACUAAAAUGACAGAUAGAUGUGCAGGAUUUAAGCUCCUGUUAGGAAAAUUAUUUCCUUUUAGUA
RNAcentral lists this transfer RNA (64 nucleotides) under Homarus americanus (American lobster). RNAcentral describes it as "tRNA-Leu(UUR)". The record is from RNAcentral. Lineage: Eukaryota; Metazoa; Arthropoda; Malacostraca; Decapoda; Nephropidae.